UGAUACCCUGCCGGGGCCAGUCGCACCACGUUCGUUCGUGGUCAGGGAAUCCGGUGAGAAUCCGGAACUGACGCGCAGCGGUGAGGGGGACGGGCAGGGUACGUGCGCCACUGGGGCGAGGCCGUGCCGACCUGAGCGUCGACGCGGCCCCGACCCGGGAAGGCACCCUGUCCGGGCGAACCCGAGUCCGAAGACCUGCUGGCACCUUCGCGCCGAG
RNAcentral lists this non-coding RNA (217 nucleotides) under Nocardiopsis sp. Lineage: Bacteria; Bacillati; Actinomycetota; Actinomycetes; Streptosporangiales; Nocardiopsidaceae. The record is from RNAcentral.